AUGCUAUGGGACUGCAAGGAAUCUGUCAGCGGUGGGAAAUGCAAGGUCAACUGGCAGAAGGUCUGCCGCCCUAAGGAGCUUGGUGGAUUGGGGAUCCUAGAUUUGGAAAGGUUCUCCCGCGCCCUUAGACUUCGCUGGCUUUGGGACGAAUGGAAGGCUCCUGAAAAACCUUGGGUAGGUUUUGAAACUCCUAACGAUGCCUCAGAUAGACAGCUCUUCAACGCCGCGACUCGUGUUACUAUCGGGGAUGGCAAGAAGGCCUCCUUUUGGUCUUCCUCAUGGCUUGACGGCAAGCCACCGAAAGAUAUGGCACCUCUGAUCUUCAAAGCUUCGAGGAGGAAAAACCGAACGGUCCAUGAUGCCCUUACUGACCAUACCUGGGUAGCGGAUAUUGCGGUGGAGGCCUUCACGGCAGAGCACAUUGGCCAGUUCGUCCAGCUAUGGGAUCUCAUCUCAGAUAUCCAGCUCUCCCCAGAUAUAGAAGAUUCCAUCAUCUGGACCCUCUCCCCAAAUGGAUGCUACUCUGCGAGCUCCGCCUAUAAGGCGCAGUUCAUGACCGCGCUGCCUUGCUCCUUCGGCUCGAUUGUCUGGAAAACGUGGGCGCCUCCCAAAUGCCGCUUCUUCGCUUGGCUCGCC
RNAcentral lists this ribosomal RNA (636 nucleotides) under Triticum aestivum (bread wheat). RNAcentral describes it as "partial small subunit ribosomal RNA". Lineage: Eukaryota; Viridiplantae; Streptophyta; Magnoliopsida; Poales; Poaceae. The record is from RNAcentral.